RNAcentral lists this long non-coding RNA (300 nucleotides) under Trifolium pratense (red clover). RNAcentral describes it as "long non-coding RNA (TPRA_LNC011414)". The record is from RNAcentral. Lineage: Eukaryota; Viridiplantae; Streptophyta; Magnoliopsida; Fabales; Fabaceae.
AGAGAUUCAAUAAUCAAAAUCUUAACAUGAUAAGCUACAUAUUUAUAUACAAUUUGAGACAAAAGAAGAGAUCAUUAAGAUAAUUAUUUAGGAUUUUACUAAAAUAAUACUCCAUAUCUCACAUAUAUAAUCUACCACCUACUAACUCAUUUACUAUAUUAUAAAAAUUUAUAAAGAAAAAAGCAUGCAGACAUACUUAAUAGUAUAUGCACCUAUAUUACAAUCCAUAACUAAUUAGUUCUUAAUUAACACCAAACUCAAAUUAAACUACUUAUAUAUAUGAACAUACUUAAUUAUAUA